UAGCUACAGGCUUAACACAUGCAAGUUGAGGGGAAACGAUAUUGGAAGCUUGCUUCCGAUAGGCGUCGACCGGCGCACGGGUGAGUAACGCGUAUCCAUCCUGCCCACCCACUUGGGGAUAACCUUGCGAAAGUAAGACUAAUACCCAAUGAUAUCUCUAGGAGACAUCUGAAAGAGAUUAAAGAUUUAUCGGUGAUGGAUGGGGAUGCGUCUGAUUAGUUUGUGGCGGGGUACGGGCCCCCCAAGGCACGGAUCAGUAGGGGUUUGGGAGGAAGGUCCCCCCCAUGGAAAUGAGACACGUUCAAACUCCUACGGGAGGCAGCAGUGAGGAAUAUGGUCAAUGGACGAGAGUCUGAACCAGCCAAGUAGCGUGCAGGAAGACGGCCCUAUGGGUGGUAAACUGCUUUUAUAAGGGAAUAAAGUGAGUCUCGUGAGACUUUUUGCAUGUACCUUAUGAAUAAGGACCGGCUAAUUCCGUGCCAGCAGCCGCGGUAAUACGGAAGGUCCGGGCGUUAUCCGGAUUUAUUGGGUUUAAAGGGAGCGUAGGCCGGAGAUUAAGCGUGUUGUGAAAUGUAGACGCUCAACGUCUGCACUGCAGCGCGAACUGGUUUCCUUGAGUACGCACAAAGUGGGCGGAAUUCGUGGUGUAGCGGUGAAAUGCUUAGAUAUCACGAAGAACUCCGAUUGCGAAGGCAGCUCACUGGAGCGCAACUGACGCUGAAGCUCGAAAGUGCGGGUAUCGAACAGGAUUAGAUACCCUGGUAGUCCGCACGGUAAACGAUGGAUGCCCGCUGUUGGUCUGAAUAGGUCAGCGGCCAAGCGAAAGCAUUAAGCAUCCCACCUGGGGAGUACGCCGGCAACGGUGAAACUCAAAGGAAUUGACGGGGGCCCGCACAAGCGGAGGAACAUGUGGUUUAAUUCGAUGAUACGCGAGGAACCUUACCCGGGCUUGAAUUGCAGAGGAAGGAUUUGGAGACAAUGACGCCCUUCGGGGCCUCUGUGAAGGUGCUGCAUGGUUGUCGUCAGCUCGUGCCGUGAGGUGUCGGCUUAAGUGCCAUAACGAGCGCAACCCCUCUCCUUAGUUGCCAUCAGGUCAAGCUGGGCACUCUGGGGACACUGCCACCGUAAGGUGUGAGGAAGGUGGGGAU
RNAcentral lists this ribosomal RNA (1148 nucleotides) under uncultured bacterium. RNAcentral's name for it is "bacterial SSU rRNA". It matches the Rfam family "Bacterial small subunit ribosomal RNA", at positions 37 to 1180 of the family's 1533-position model. The record is from RNAcentral.